Panicum hallii is the source of this 86-nucleotide small nucleolar RNA. RefSeq annotates it as small nucleolar RNA SNORD25. The transcript has a single exon. The record is from RefSeq and is a predicted model, not a curated record. Lineage: Eukaryota; Viridiplantae; Streptophyta; Magnoliopsida; Poales; Poaceae.
CAUGACGAUGAUGAGCCCUAACAGACCUGUAAUGAUUCUUGCGGUUAUGAUCGCUUGACAAUGAACAUCUAAGGGACUGAGUCACA